AAGAGAGAGAAUAUGCAAUUAUGUCCUUCAAAGCAGGCAAGAAAGAUGUCUUGGUUGCAACCGAUGUCGCCUCAAAGGGUUUGGACUUUCCUGAUAUCCAACAUGUUAUAAACUAUGAUAUGCCUGCAGAAAUUGAAAAUUAUGUUCAUAGAAUUGGACGAACUGGAAGGUGUGGUAAGACAGGAAUUGCAACUACCUUUAUAAACAAAAACCAGAGUGAAACAACACUUCUCGAUUUGAAGCACCUAUUGCAAGAAGCAAAACAGAGGAUUCCACCUGUCCU
RNAcentral lists this long non-coding RNA (283 nucleotides) under Jatropha curcas. RNAcentral describes it as "long non-coding RNA (JCUR_LNC001374)". Lineage: Eukaryota; Viridiplantae; Streptophyta; Magnoliopsida; Malpighiales; Euphorbiaceae. The record is from RNAcentral.